This 1506-nucleotide ribosomal RNA is filed under the name human gut metagenome. Its description in RNAcentral is "bacterial SSU rRNA". It matches the Rfam family "Bacterial small subunit ribosomal RNA". The record is from RNAcentral.
AGAGUUUGAUCCUGGCUCAGGACGAACGCUGGCGGCGUGCCUAAUACAUGCAAGUCGAGCGAGCGGAACUAACAGAUUUACUUCGGUAAUGACGUUAGGAAAGCGAGCGGCGGAUGGGUGAGUAACACGUGGGGAACCUGCCCCAUAGUCUGGGAUACCACUUGGAAACAGGUGCUAAUACCGGAUAAGAAAGCAGAUCGCAUGAUCAGCUUUUAAAAGGCGGCGUAAGCUGUCGCUAUGGGAUGGCCCCGCGGUGCAUUAGCUAGUUGGUAAGGUAAAGGCUUACCAAGGCGAUGAUGCAUAGCCGAGUUGAGAGACUGAUCGGCCACAUUGGGACUGAGACACGGCCCAAACUCCUACGGGAGGCAGCAGUAGGGAAUCUUCCACAAUGGACGCAAGUCUGAUGGAGCAACGCCGCGUGAGUGAAGAAGGUUUUCGGAUCGUAAAGCUCUGUUGUUGGUGAAGAAGGAUAGAGGUAGUAACUGGCCUUUAUUUGACGGUAAUCAACCAGAAAGUCACGGCUAACUACGUGCCAGCAGCCGCGGUAAUACGUAGGUGGCAAGCGUUGUCCGGAUUUAUUGGGCGUAAAGCGAGCGCAGGCGGAAGAAUAAGUCUGAUGUGAAAGCCCUCGGCUUAACCGAGGAACUGCAUCGGAAACUGUUUUUCUUGAGUGCAGAAGAGGAGAGUGGAACUCCAUGUGUAGCGGUGGAAUGCGUAGAUAUAUGGAAGAACACCAGUGGCGAAGGCGGCUCUCUGGUCUGCAACUGACGCUGAGGCUCGAAAGCAUGGGUAGCGAACAGGAUUAGAUACCCUGGUAGUCCAUGCCGUAAACGAUGAGUGCUAAGUGUUGGGAGGUUUCCGCCUCUCAGUGCUGCAGCUAACGCAUUAAGCACUCCGCCUGGGGAGUACGACCGCAAGGUUGAAACUCAAAGGAAUUGACGGGGGCCCGCACAAGCGGUGGAGCAUGUGGUUCAUCUAGUGCCAUUUGUAGAGAUACAAAGUUCCCUUCGGGGACGCUAAGACAGGUGGUGCAUGGCUGUCGUCAGCUCGUGUCGUGAGAUGUUGGGUUAAGUCCCGCAACGAGCGCAACCCUUGUUAUUAGUUGCCAGCAUUAAGUUGGGCACUCUAAUGAGACUGCCGGUGACAAACCGGAGGAAGGUGGGGAUGACGUCAAGUCAUCAUGCCCCUUAUGACCUGGGCUACACACGUGCUACAAUGGGCAGUACAACGAGAAGCGAGCCUGCGAAGGCAAGCGAAUCUCUGAAAGCUGUUCUCAGUUCGGACUGCAGUCUGCAACUCGACUGCACGAAGCUGGAAUCGCUAGUAAUCGCGGAUCAGCACGCCGCGGUGAAUACGUUCCCGGGCCUUGUACACACCGCCCGUCACACCAUGGGAGUCUGCAAUGCCCAAAGCCGGUGGCCUAACCUUCGGGAAGGAGCCGUCUAAGGCAGGGCAGAUGACUGGGGUGAAGUCGUAACAAGGUAGCCGUAGGAGAACCUGCGGCUG